UACGUAGGGGGCUAGCGUUGUCCGGAAUCAUUGGGCGUAAAGCGCGUGUAGGCGGCCCGGUAAGUCCGCUGUGAAAGUCGGGGGCUCAACCCUCGAAUGCCGGUGGAUACUGUCGGGCUAGAGUACGGAAGAGGCGAGUGGAAUUCCUGGUGUAGCGGUGAAAUGCGCAGAUAUCGGGAGGAACACCAAUUGCGAAGGCAGCUCGCUGGGACGUCACUGACGCUGAGACGCGAAAGCGUGGGGAGCAAACAGG
RNAcentral lists this ribosomal RNA (253 nucleotides) under uncultured bacterium. RNAcentral's name for it is "partial 16S ribosomal RNA". It matches the Rfam family "Bacterial small subunit ribosomal RNA", at positions 524 to 776 of the family's 1533-position model. The record is from RNAcentral.